UCCUAUACAAACAGUCAUACAUGCUGCGAGUGGGAUCUAGAGGAGAUAGACAGCAGUGAUGAAGUUUUUAUGGAAUGCUCUGUGGAUGAGAUAGGAACUGAAGAGGAGGAAUUUUCUAAUUCUUCACGUUUGAAAAACAUCCCGUGCGGGUGUAAUUCAACCAUAUUUGUUCGAACCGGAGUUGACGACACAAGGACGGUAUUUGGCGAGAGCUGAUGUGGUUGACCUGAAACUUUGCACCCAAAACACAGACUGGUCCAAAAACCUCCAGAACACCUGAAGACGAGGAUUCGGACAGUGAUGUCAGUCCUGUAAUUGCCCUGCAAGACCAUCAAAUGGAACAGGUAGUAGACUGUCACGAAGAAUGUCAUGAAGAAUCCUGAGACAUUCAAAACAAAGACAUUUACUAUCAACCUCGAGUCAUCCACUACCAACCAUGAGCCUCUCCCAUUCCUUCAAAGAGAGUGGCCCUUAUUAGAAGCAAGGUUCCAAAAAAAAGUGCUGAUGCUGCUUAUGGAGAUAAGAGACACCAUCAGUCAUUAAAACCAGAGGGCAACACAAGAAAAGGACAUCGACAUUGUACAGAUAAAAUCUCUGGCAGACUUCGCUGUCAUAGAAGAGAAGGUGACGGAAGACCCUUUACAGAACUGGUAUAAUUAAGUAUGGAAAAAGUUGUUCAGUUUAAUUGGAACAACAAACUAAUUACUAAUUUUGCCAUCCUCUUUUUGAUUAACGGAAAUUCCAAACUGUCAUGGGUGUGUCUGUCCCUGAUGCGGCGUGCACCUGCUCCAAUGAGCAGAUGGGUGCACCUGCGUCUCAUUUUAGUGAUUAUGGCUCUCAUAUUGCCACGCAUACGUUCUGUUUUUUGCCAGAUCGUUGGACUUCAUGUCACGUUGCUGAAACCCUUUGUCUACAUCCUUGCUACUUCGUGUAUCGAACCCUGGCUCGUUCUCGACCUUCCCCUUAUGCCCGCUGAUUCUGUUACUGCUGCCUUGUUGGACUGUCUGCCCAUGUACCAACUUUAGACUGAAUAAAGACUCCUCCCGAACCGUACCUGGUCUC
Syngnathoides biaculeatus (alligator pipefish) is the source of this 1062-nucleotide long non-coding RNA. RefSeq lists it as uncharacterized. NCBI's taxonomy places the organism in Eukaryota, Metazoa, Chordata, Actinopteri, Syngnathiformes, Syngnathidae. The transcript is spliced from 4 exons. The record is from RefSeq and is a predicted model, not a curated record.